UGGGGAAUAUUGGACAAUGGGCGCAAGCCUGAUCCAGCAAUGCCGCGUGUGUGAAGAAGGCCUUCGGGUUGUAAAGCACUUUUAUCAGGAGCGAAAUCUGCAUGCUUAAUACGUGUGCAGUCUGACGGUACCUGAGGAAUAAGCACCGGCUAACUUCGUGCCAGCAGCCGCGGUAAUACGAAGGGUGCAAGCGUUAAUCGGAAUUACUGGGCGUAAAGGGUGCGUAGGCGGUUCGUUAAGUCUGUCGUGAAAUCCCCGGGCUCAACCUGGGAAUGGCGAUGGAUACUGGCGAGCUAGAGUGUGUCAGAGGAUGGUGGAAUUCCCGGUGUAGCGGUGAAAUGCGUAGAGAUCGGGAGGAACAUCAGUGGCGAAGGCGGCCAUCUGGGACAACACUGACGCUGAAGCACGAAAGCGUGGGGAGCAAACA
This 427-nucleotide ribosomal RNA is filed under the name uncultured Rhodanobacter sp. Its description in RNAcentral is "bacterial SSU rRNA". It matches the Rfam family "Bacterial small subunit ribosomal RNA", at positions 355 to 774 of the family's 1533-position model. The record is from RNAcentral. Lineage: Bacteria; Pseudomonadati; Pseudomonadota; Gammaproteobacteria; Lysobacterales; Rhodanobacteraceae.